RNAcentral lists this ribosomal RNA (476 nucleotides) under uncultured organism. RNAcentral describes it as "partial 16S ribosomal RNA". It matches the Rfam family "Bacterial small subunit ribosomal RNA", at positions 333 to 800 of the family's 1533-position model. The record is from RNAcentral.
ACACUCCUGCGGGAGGCAGCAGUGGGGAAUAUUGCACAAUGGGCGCAAGCCUGAUGCAGCCAUGCCGCGUGUAUGAAGAAGGCCUUCGGGUUGUAAAGUACUUUCAGCGGGGAGGAAGGCAAUACGGUUAAUAACCGUGUUGAUUGACGUUACCCGCAGAAGAAGCACCGGCUAACUCCGUGCCAGCAGCCGCGGUAAUACGGAGGGUGCAAGCGUUAAUCGGAAUUACUGGGCGUAAAGCGCACGCAGGCGGUCUGUCAAGUCGGAUGUGAAAUCCCCGGGCUCAACCUGGGAACUGCAUUCGAAACUGGCAGGCUUGAGUCUUGUAGAGGGGGGUAGAAUUCCAGGUGUAGCGGUGAAAUGCGUAGAGAUCUGGAGGAAUACCGGUGGCGAAGGCGGCCCCCUGGACAAAGACUGACGCUCAGGUGCGAAAGCGUGGGGAGCAAACAGGAUUAGAUACCCCUGUAGUCCCAUGA